RNAcentral lists this long non-coding RNA (4717 nucleotides) under Ananas comosus (pineapple). Its description in RNAcentral is "long non-coding RNA (ACOM_LNC026356)". Lineage: Eukaryota; Viridiplantae; Streptophyta; Magnoliopsida; Poales; Bromeliaceae. The record is from RNAcentral.
UUUGCUUUAAAAAUUAUCUAAAAUUUUUAAAAAAAUUGCUGGAAUUGUUAAAAAAUUAUAUAAAAUUUUUAAUUAUUUGGCUAAAUUCAAAAGUUAAGAUGGCAUGAAUAAAACUUGGUAAUCUUAGAUAGAUAAGCUUAUCAUUUGUUUAAAAUUACUCUUUUCAACUUUUGCAUUUGGAACUAUAACUAAGUUGGGCGUAGUUCCGACUGCUACAGUUGAGCCUUCUUGUACAAUUUUAAUUACAGUAAAUAAAUUCAAAUACAGCAAAUCAAACACUAUAUUCGAAUCUAUAUGUAGUUACAAUUACAGUGCAAUUAUAAAUUACAUGUAAUUAAAAAGUCACAAAAGAAGAGCGUAAGAGAUGGACUGUAUUUUAUUUCUUCAAACGCAAUGAUUAAAGUCCCACCUCGUGCUGUACAAUACGGAGCGACACGUAUCGUGCCCCCAAGAAGGGAGCAAGAUAUAGGGGGAGUUUCGGACCACCCUUCGUACCGCACACUAUGUUUUAUUUUUUGCUUUUCUUUUUCUCUUUGCUUUCUUUUCCUUUUUCUUUUGUUAUUUGGGGUACCAAAAAAUAUUCGUGUACUCUACAUUUUCGAAAAAUAUUACAAAUCGAAAAUCUACUUGUUAGAUAAGUCAAAAAAAAAGUAUAAUUUAUUUUUUUUGUUUACAAAUAUACUGCCAAAUUUUUAAUUUACAUAUCCGAUCCUAUCAGCCCGAACCAUUUGCUUCCACCACAGACAUCCAUUUUUUCUUAACAAACUAUUUUAUCUAAAUUUCUCGCACCGCAAAACUUUUAGCGAAUUAGAAAAACAAAGUCGAACUCAAUAAACAAAAUUUAAGACACAUCAAAUAUAAAAUUUUAUUUUUACGCUAGAAAAUUAAAAAUACUGAUAAAAUUAAAAGUUAAAUUAAAUUAAUUGAUAUACUUAAAUUUAUUUAAUUUAUUUGUUAUAUAAUUUAUUGCUUAAGUUUUUUUGAUAGAUCUAAUAAUUUAAAAAAAUUAAUUAAAAAAUAAUUUUUUCAAACACUUUUUAAAAUAAUUUUUCAAAUAAUUUUUAAAUAAUUUUAAAAUUUAUUUUUUGUAUUUUAUAAAAGAAAUACUAUAAUAUAAUCAAAAGAAAUAAAGAAAGAAAUUAUUUUUUGCAUUUUAAAAAUUUUAACAUGCAAAAAUUUUUAUUCUGCAUCAGGUAUAGUUGUAUUUUACAAAAAUUAAUUAAAAAAUAAUUUUUUCAAACACUUUUUAAAAUAAUUUUUCAAAUAAUUUUUAAAUAAUUUUAAAAUUUAUUUUUUGUAUUUUAUAAAAGAAAUACUAUAAUAUAAUCAAAAGAAAUAAAGAAAGAAAGAUAUUUUUGCAUUUUAAAAAUUUUAACAUGCAAAAAUUUUUAUUCUGCAUCAGGUAUAGUUGUAUUUUACAUACAAAAAAAGUUACAGAUAUAUUAUUUUUUCAAAAUAAUAUUAUAAAAAUUUAUUGGAACCAAAAAAAUUAAAAUAAGUCAAUACCAAAGUAUGCCAGUAGAAUGUCAUGCGUAUCUAUCGACACACAAGUGUACCAUGUGUCAGUACGGAAGUAUGCCUGUGUCGUACCAUAUCAGGAAGACAACGGCACGCCUCAAUGCCAUGGUACUUUAAACCUUACUUAAAGGGUAUAGUUUCAACUAUUACAAUUGAGCCUCAUUGUGUAGCGCCAAUUGUAGUAGUUGGAUUCAAAUAUAUCGAAUCCAUUUUAUAUUUGAAUCUAUACUUAGUUUCAAUUAUAGUGCAGUUACAAAUAUAUGCAACUAAAUAGUCACUAAAAAAUGAGCAUAACAGGCGCAGUUCUAACUAUUACAGUUGAACCUUUUUAUAUCGUACCAACUAGAAUAAUUAAAAUCAAAUAUAUAAAAUCAAAUACUAAACUAGAAUCUUCGUGCAAUUAUAAUUACAGUAUAGUUAUAAACACAAUCAACUAAAGUGUCCAUAUAUAAAAGGAGGCCGGACGGGUAAGAAAUGGAUCAUAUUUUGUUUUCUUAAUAUGCAUAUUUCCAACUAUUGCCGUUGAACCUUCUCAAACAAUUUCGACUGUAGCAGUUGAAUCAAAUCCAUCAAAUCAAAUACUAUAUUCAAAUCAGCAUGUAGUUAUUAUGAUCACGGUAUAGCUAAGAAUACAAGGUUUUUUUUUGCAUUUAGCCCUCUCAGAAUUUUUUUCCACAAAUAGUCUCAAAAAAUUUAUAUUUGCAAGAUUGGCUCUAUCCCUGUCACACGAGCGCCACGUGAGCUGGUGGCCCAGGCUAAGUUGAACACAAUGAAUCAUUCAUCGUGUUUGGACACGGUGAAUGGUUCACCGCGUUUAUUGUUUUAUAUAUUUCUGUAAGUUAUAUAAGUUUGAGUUGAACACGAUGAAUCAUUCACCAUGUCCAAAUACGAUUGGUUCACCGUAUUCAACUUAUCCCUAGGCCGCCAGUCAUGCUCACGUGACGCUUGCUUGGCGAGAAUAGAGUCAAUUUUACAAAUAUAAAUUUUAUGGAGCUAUUUAUGAAAAAAAAUUUCUGAGGAGGCUAAAUACACAAGAAAGUCUAAAAAUGCAUGCAAUUAGGGGCAUGUUUGUUUGGGUAGAAGUGGGGUGGAAGUGGAGAGGAGGGAAGUUAUUUUCGCUGUAAACGAUCACUUCCGUUGUUUUGUUCGCCGUAAAAAAGUUACGGUCGAAACUCCAGUUAAUUUGAAACGGCAUAAUUGACUUCGGCCUAUCGUGGGCCAAAAUCAAUUACGGUGAAAAGAGGUGAAGAAAAAAUAAUAAAAUAAUAUAUUAGGUAAAGAUAGUUAUAUUUAAAUAUAUUUAAUUAGGGUACUAAUUAUUCUUUUAUUCAUUUGACAUAUUUAAAAUAUGAUAAAAAUUGAUUAGUUAAGUUUUAAUAUUUUUUAAUUUAGUUUGUAUAAUUAAAAUAUGAUAAAAAUUGACUAAUUAAAUAUUACUUUUUUUAUUUUAUAACUUUAUUGUUGUAUUACUGUAAUUUAUAUAUAAAAAAAUAAUUUAGUUGCUUUAAAUUAAAUUUUAAUAAUAUAAAAAUAUAAUUAUAUUAUUUUUAUUUAUUAAAUUAUGUAUAUUUAUACAUAAGUUAUAGUUUUAUAUCAUAUACUUUCCACCAAACAAACAGCAAAACUAAUGAAACUUCACUUCCAUAACAACAAAACAAACAGCGGAGAAGAAGUAAUUUUCACCGAACUCCACUUCAACCUAAAGUUCACUUCAACCCAAAAUCUAGUUUCAGUAAAACAAACAUGCAAGUCUCUAAGUGGCCGUUUGGUUGCAUGUAGUUGCAACUACACUGCAGUUGUAACUGCAUGUAAAUACAAAUUUCGUACUUGGUUUGAUAUAUUUAACUCCAACUGCUGCAAUAGGAAUUGCAGGAGGAGGCCCAACUGCAGCAGUUCGAACUACGCCCAAAUUAGCCGCAGUUCCAACUACAGCAGUUAGAGAGAGUAACUUUAAAUAAAAGGUAUGCUUACCUCCUCAAUAUUUUUUAAACAAAAAUUAUUUUCCUUUUUUACAUUAGAGGUAAUCUCACCAUCAUAUAUAAAAUAAUAAAAUUUUAAAAAUUAUUUCUCAACUGCAUACAAUCAAACAAAUUAUUUAUACUUACAGCGCUUUCUACUACAGCCAACCAAACAUGAUUCAUGUAGUUGUACUUACUGUAUUUUCAACUGUAUGCAUCUCUAACUACAGUACAUUUAUAAUUACAUCUAACCAAACAGCCCUAAGAGGAGGACGCAAGUGAUAAAUCGUAUUUUGUUUUCUUACUAGGCAUUUUUAAUAGGGCCCAUGAGAAUGAUGAUUUAUGAUUUCGGGCAGGCCCGUUAAUCUAUUUUGUUUUCUUAACGGGCCUUGGGUCCAAGUUGGGGAUUGAAUGUACGGGUUUAGAAUUAGGCCGAAAAGAGUUGGGAGGAGAGUAGGGAUGUUGGGUACGGAUGCCCAAAAUUUUAUAAACCGGUAUCCGGACAAAAUAGAUUUAUUUAAUACUAAAUGAAUAUAGAUUCGAUAUGAAUAUCAAAAGAAAAAAAAAACGAAUUUGGAUUCGGAUAUAAAUUUUGAUUGUACCCGACUCAAACCCGAACCCAAAUUAAUUUUAUAUUAUAUAAUGUGUGUGUGUAUAUAUAUGUUUGAUGCUAUGUUUAAAUUUGUAUUUUAAUAUGCUUUGAAAUAUUAUAACGAGAAAUAUUUGUUUCUGGUUCGGAUUUCGGAUUUUUGGUAGUUCGGGUUCCAGGCUUGAUAGUCGGGUUUGAGUUCGAAUUUUUGAAAACUCACCCCAAAUCCGACAUGUUGACAUCUCUAACCGGAAGCAUAUAGAAAUAUAUUUUCAAAUUUUUGGUGGAGACAAAAUAAAAUAUAGUAGAUUACAAAAAAAAAAAAAGAAAAAUCAUGAUUACAACCCAAAAAAAUAAAACCUCAUAACACAGAAAUUACAGUUAUACAAACAUCCGAAAAAGUUUUUAUGGUUCUGUUUGGAUAUAUAAAUAUUUUGUUGAAUAUAUUUUUUUUGAUUUACAGAAAAAGGUUAUAUUAUUUGAUAGACGAGUAGUGUGACCGAACCUUAUUUUGAUGUGAUUGAAGAGUGAUAAUAUGUUUCGCCGUGAUCAUUUUAUGAUGUGAUUGAAAGUUACGAGUCUAAAUUAUUUGAAUUGAAAAGUUAAUUCAGCUAAUUAAAUUAGAAACUUAAAAAAAAAAUAAUUGUAGAAA